This 349-nucleotide unclassified non-coding RNA is filed under the name Bombus terrestris (buff-tailed bumblebee). RNAcentral's name for it is "misc RNA ENSBTSG00005032649.1". The record is from RNAcentral. Lineage: Eukaryota; Metazoa; Arthropoda; Insecta; Hymenoptera; Apidae.
AGAGGCGCAUUUGACAGUCGUGAAAAUUUGUUCGGAAACGUUCGACAAAUGGCGUUCGGUAUUAAAAGUGCGAUGUGUGGUGCGUGUAAACAAAAGUACAUUGAAGUUCUGCGAAAUGUUUGGCAAACCUGACGCCAGCCUGCGAUAAAUGUUAACUUCGUCAAACGAUUCUGUGAACGUUGGUGUCGAGGAGUAUUUUGGUUACCAUCCGGUCGACAAGGCAUUCCAACGUGCAUUGUCGUAAACGAUGCCGAUAAUCUCCGAUCUGCAUUAGCAUCGAAGGAUGAAGCUAGAAGUGCAAAUAAAAAGUACCACACAAUUUUUUCUUUCGCUUGCAUCUUCUUCGACC